AACGCAUCUUGCGCUCCUUGGUAUUCCGAGGAGCAUGCCUGUUUGAGUGUCAUUAAAUUCUCAACCUUACUAGCUUUAUUGCUGGUCUGGCUUGGAUAUGGGGGUUUUGUUGCAGGCUUUAACAAGUCAGCUCCCCUGAAAUGCAUUAGCGGUGCCUUUGUGGUUCAUUGUCUACUGGUGUGAUAACUAUCUACGCCUUUCAGAUUGACCACGUCUUGUGCUAUACUGCUUCUAACAGUCCAUUUGUUGGACACGAAAUGUAAAAUGACAAUUUUGACCUCAAAUCAGGUAGGACUACCCGCUGAACUUAA
RNAcentral lists this unclassified non-coding RNA (311 nucleotides) under uncultured fungus. Its description in RNAcentral is "sequence contains ITS2". The stretch from base 1 to 52 matches the Rfam family "5.8S ribosomal RNA", at positions 103 to 154 of the family's 154-position model. The record is from RNAcentral. Lineage: Eukaryota; Fungi.